AACGCGAAGAACCUUACCUCGGCUUGACAUGCACGUGGUACUGAUGGGAAACCAAAGGGACCCGCGAGGGAGCGUGCACAGAUGCUGCAUGGCUGUCGUCAGCUCGUGCCGUGAGGUGUUGGGUUAAGUCCCGCAACGAGCGCAACCCUUGUCCUUAGUUACCAUGUCUAGGGAGACCGCCGGUCUAAACCGGAGGAAGGUGGGGAUGACGUCAAGUCAGCACGGCUCUUACGUCGAGGGCUACACACACGCUACAAUGGCCGGUACAACGGGCUGCUAAGGGGCGACCUGGAGCUAAUCCCACCAAAGCCGGUCUCAGUUCGGAUCGCAGGCUGCAACUCGCCUGCGUGAAGUCGGAGUUGCUAGUAACUGCUGGUCAGCACACAGCAGUGAAUACGUUCCCGGGCCUUGUACACACCGUAGUAC
RNAcentral lists this ribosomal RNA (426 nucleotides) under uncultured bacterium. RNAcentral's name for it is "bacterial SSU rRNA". It matches the Rfam family "Bacterial small subunit ribosomal RNA", at positions 958 to 1398 of the family's 1533-position model. The record is from RNAcentral.